ACGGCUAGAAAUAUUCCUGAGAGAUCAAUACAUUUUUUAAGGGUUUUAGGACUUCUUUUGUGAUCAAAAAAGUAUGAAAAAAUUAUUUAUAAAUAGGGGGUUCGGGAAUAAACUUUAAGAGAAAAAAAAUCAGAAAAAAAAUAAGAAAUGAAUAGAAAAAAAAUUCAAAGAGCUUUAGGGAUCAAUUAUUGGGGGAUUAUGGAGUUAGAGAGCUUGAUGCGAGGCUAAAUCCUUUCAAUCCAGGAAU
This 247-nucleotide long non-coding RNA is filed under the name Elaeis guineensis (African oil palm). RNAcentral describes it as "long non-coding RNA (EGUI_LNC050526)". The record is from RNAcentral. Lineage: Eukaryota; Viridiplantae; Streptophyta; Magnoliopsida; Arecales; Arecaceae.